AACGCGAAGAACCUUACCUGGGCUUGAACCGCACAGGACCAUCUUUGGAAACAGAGACUUCCCGCAAGGGACCUGUGUAGAGGUGCUGCAUGGCUGUCGUCAGCUCGUGCCGUGAGGUGUUGGGUUAAGUCCCGCAACGAGCGCAACCCUUACUCGUAGUUGCUACCCGCAAGGGAGAACUCUACGAGGACUGCUCCGGAUAACGGAGAGGAAGGUGGGGAUGACGUCAAGUCAGCACGGCCUUUAUGUCCAGGGCUACACACGUGUUACAAUGCACGGUACAGACUGUUGCGAACCCGCGAGGGGGAGCUAAUCGGAUAAAACCGUGCUCAGUUCGGAUUGCAGUCUGCAACUCGGCUGCAUGAAGCUGGAAUCGCUAGUAAUGGCGUAUCAGAUCGACGCCGUGAAUACGUUCCCGGGCCUUGUACACACCGACGCGUA
Molecule: ribosomal RNA, 441 nt
Filed under: uncultured bacterium
Lineage: Bacteria
Description: bacterial SSU rRNA
Rfam family: Bacterial small subunit ribosomal RNA
Source: RNAcentral